GGUUGGCUCAGAAGCAGCCAUCCUUUAAAGAGUGCGUAACAGCUCACUAGUCGAGUGACCCUGCGCCGAAAAUGUACCGGGGCUAAGCCUGAUACCGAAACUGCGGAUUGUAGGAAACUAUAGUGGUAGGGGAGCGUUGUAUACGAGCAGAAGCCGUACCGUGAGGAGCGGUGGAUUGUAUAGAAGUGAGAAUGCCGGUGUGAGUAGCGAGAUGUAGGUGAGAAUCCUACACACCGAAAGCCCAAGGAUUCCAGGGGAAGGUUCGUCCGCCCUGGGUAAGUCGGGACCUAACGCGAGGCCGAAAGGCGUAGUGGAUGGAAAGCAGGCGAAAGAUUCCUGCACCCGUAUAUGGAGCGAAGGAGUGACGGAGACGGAUAGUGUGACCCUCUUAAUGGAUUGAGGGCGAAGCGAAGCGGCUGGUUACCAGGCAAAUCCGGUAACCAAAAGGCUAGAGCGUGACAGGUAAGCGAAAUCUUCGGAAAGUAGCGAAGCACAUGAUGACGGCUUCCAGGAAAAGCUUCUGGCAAUGCAUAUGCGGCCCGUACCAAAACCGACACAGGUGGGCAGGGAGAGAAUCCCGAGGUGAGCGAGAGAACUGUUGCCAAGGAACUCGGCAAAAUGACUCCGUAAGUUAGCGAGAAGGAGUGCUUAAGCAAUUAAGCCGCAGUGAAGAGGCCCAAGCGACUGUUUAACUAAAACACAGCUCUCUGCAAAGUCGCAAGACGAAGUAUAGGGGGUGACACCUGCCCGGUGCUGGAAGGUUAAGAGGAUCUGUUAAGAGCGAUCUGAAGCAGUGAUCCGAAGCCCCAGUGAACGGCGGCCGUAACUAUAACGGUCCUAAGGUAGCGAAAUUCCUUGUCAGGUAAGUUCUGACCCGCACGAAAGGUGUAACGAUUUGGGCGCUGUCUCGGCAGCAGACUCGGUGAAAUCUUAGUACCUGUGAAAAUGCAGGUUACCCGCAACUAGACGGAAAGACCCCAUGGAGCUUUACUGCAGCCUGAUAUUGAAUUCUGGUCAUACAUGUACAGGAUAGGUGGGAGACAAAGAGACGUGCACGCCAGUGUACGAGGAGUCGACGUUGGGAUACCACUCUUGUGUGACCGGGGUUCUAACCUGGUAUCGAGAACAGGUACGGGGAGAGUGUCAGGUGGGCAGUUUGACUGGGGCGGUCGCCUCCCAAAGAGUAACGGAGGCGCCCAAAGGUUCCCUCAGCGCGGCCGGAAAUCGCGCGAAGAGUGUAAAGGCAGAAGGGAGCUUGACUGAGAGCCAAACACGGCAAUCAGGUACGAAAGUAGGGCUUAGUGAUCCGGUGGCAUCCAAGUGGAAGGGCCAUCGCUCAACGGAUAAAAGCUACCCUGGGGAUAACAGGCUAAUCUCUCCCAAGAGUCCAUAUCGACGGGGAGGUUUGGCACCUCGAUGUCGGCUCAUCACAUCCUGGGGCUGAAGUCGGUCCCAAGGGUUGGGCUGUUCGCCCAUUAAAGUGGUACGUGAGCUGGGUUCAGAACGUCGUGAGACAGUUCGGUCCCUAUCCAUCGCGGGCGCAAGAGAUUUGAAGGGGGCUGCUCCUAGUACGAGAGGACCGGAGUGGACGAACCAAUGGUGUACCAAUUAUCUCGCCAGAGGUAUAGUUGGGUAGCUACGUUCGGAAAGGAUAAACGCUGAAAGCAUCUAAGCGUGAAACCAGCCUUAAGAUGAGAUCUCUCAUAGAGCAAUCUAGUAAGACACCUUGG
RNAcentral lists this ribosomal RNA (1730 nucleotides) under human gut metagenome. RNAcentral's name for it is "bacterial LSU rRNA". It matches the Rfam family "Bacterial large subunit ribosomal RNA", at positions 1099 to 2841 of the family's 2925-position model. The record is from RNAcentral.